Non-coding RNA from Podarcis lilfordi (Lilford's wall lizard), 2192 nucleotides. NCBI's taxonomy places the organism in Eukaryota, Metazoa, Chordata, Lepidosauria, Squamata, Lacertidae. The record is from the annotation of a GenBank genome assembly.
AAGCUUGUCAACUUCCCGAUUGCCACAAUUUCAUAUUUCGACAGUCUCACAGAUCCUUUAGAUCUCCGGAGGGAUAUUGAUUUCCUGCAAGAUCCUGUUAGUUAUGUUGAAAUCUUCAAUUUUCUGCACUGAAUAGGCUAGGGCUAUGGGUUGUAUUCAACUUUCAUAGACAAUGUAAUGAGGUUUUUGUUUGUUUGUUUGUUUUUUAAAAAUGCUGCUUGUAAGUUAUGGUUCAUAGGAACAAUUCAAAAGAGCAGUCAAUGGGGGAUUGUGUAGGAGAAUUCCCCUGCAGAGUGAUCCAUAUUUGUCUAGAAACAAAUUUGCUCCAAGCUGAAACUUUACAUUGUAUAGCACAGUGGGUUUCUGUAAAUAUCAAAUGAAGGAAUAAAUGACCAGAAGCUCUAACCCUGGGUUGGAUUUCUGCCUAGAUAGUUAAAUGUGUAAAGAUUCUUUGAUCCAGUUUGCGAUAUGAGUGUUUAUGGGUGUGUAUGGGUAUGUAUCUUUUCAAAAUCUCUCUCUCUCUCUCUCUCUCUCUCUCUCUCUCUCUCUCAUUCACACACACACACACACACACACAACACACGAUGUAAUGCUUGUAUUCAUUCUCACAUGAAUAAGAUAUUUCUGUGAUUUUAUACAAUAAUCCCCACUUCAUAAAGUUUUUGUUUUUUAAAAGGUUUUUUUUUUAAAAAAGAUGCUUAGUUUUAUUUAUAUCACUUAAUUGAAUUUGAAUACCACUUAAUUGUAAAUAAAAGACUCCAGUUUUAUUGGUAUAAUGAUCUACUCAGUUUUACCACUCUUUUAAUCACAAAGGAACGUUAACUGGUUGAUAAGGCAUAACUAAUCAGACAACUUUGAGCCUUCAUCCUAUAUUUUAUCUUUCUUUCCUGAAUGCAUGUUUUUUCUACUUGUCUGCUCACAUGUUUAAUUGUAGACUAUGUGAGAUUAUGGAUGCAAUCCAGGAUCCACUUAACCCGGAGAAGGUCAUGCUGGGAUAGUUUUACUGGUUUCAGUAGAAUAACCGCAGCGUCGAUGAACUCUGAUUUGCAGUCAUGCUUGACUUUCCAUACACAUACCAUAUCCACAGGCCUACACAUUGCACAUUGCUGCUUCAGUCCUACCAGUCUUAUAGUGAUUCCAAUAGAUAGCUUGCUUUCAUGCCAGCAUGGUUAGGGCUAGGAUAUUGUGUACAAUGGCAGCCCUCAAAACAUUUUGCAAAGUUAUGCCAUAGGAAAUGAUUUCAACCACAACGCUGAUGGACAGUUCCUGUUUGCACCAUCCCCCACCAACUGGUCCUGAAUAUACUUUUCUCAGCGCUUUACACCAUGGGUAGGCAAACUAAGGCCCGGGGCUGGAUCCAGCCCAAUCGCCUUCUCAAUCCGGCCUGCGGAUGGUCUGGGAAUCAGCGUGUUUUUACAUGAAUAAAAUGUGUCCUUUUAUUUAAAAUGCAUCUCUGGGUUAUUUGUGGGGCAUAAGAAUUCAUUCAUUCCCCCCUCCAAAAAAUAUAUAUAUAGUCUGGCCCCCCACAAGGUCUGAGGUAUAGUGGACCGGCCCCUUGCUGAAAAGGUUUGCUGACCCCUGCUUUACACCAAACUGACUCUUGCCUUCUUUUACAUUCUCUUUUCCCUAGCAAAGAGACUUGAACUCUUUCCUCUGGACUAUCCGGAGGGACCCUCCUGCCUAUCUCUUUGGAACAAUCCAUGUGCCUUACACACGCGUGUGGGACUUUGUCCCUGAGAACUCCAAGUCUGCUUUCCAAGCCAGUUCCAGUGUGUACUUUGAGCUGGACCUCACUGACCCCUACACCAUUUCGGGCCUGGCCAGCUGUCAGCUGCUACCCCACGGGGAGAACUUGCAAGACGUGCUCCCCCGGGAUCUUUACCACCGCCUCAAGCGCCACCUUGAGUACGUCAAAUUGAUGCUCCCUCACUGGAUGACGCCAGACCAACGGGGGAAAGGUCUUUAUGCCGAUUACCUCUUCAAUGCUAUUGCUGGGAACUGGGAGCGCAAAAGGCCCGUCUGGGUGAUGCUGAUGGUCAACUCCCUCACGGAGACAGAUAUCCGUUCCCGGGGAGUGCCCGUAUUGGACCUCUACCUGGCUCAGGAGGCGGAGAGGAUGAAGAAAAGGACAGGAGCUGUGGAGAGGGUGGAAGAGCAAUGCCAUCCACUGAAUGGGCUGAACUUCUCCCAGG